UAAAUAGAAUGAGAGGCUUUAACAUAUGUGUCUCUCGUUUAUGGGAAUCAGAGGAAUAUCGAAUGGUAGGCGAGAUAUCGUUUCAGUCGCCCUUUCCUUGAUUGGUGAUUCGAUUGUUGCUCGUCAACAU
Small nucleolar RNA from Telopea speciosissima, 130 nucleotides. RefSeq annotates it as small nucleolar RNA snoR111. Lineage: Eukaryota; Viridiplantae; Streptophyta; Magnoliopsida; Proteales; Proteaceae. The transcript has a single exon. The record is from RefSeq and is a predicted model, not a curated record.